Molecule: transfer RNA, 69 nt
Filed under: Margaritifera margaritifera (freshwater pearlshell mussel)
Lineage: Eukaryota; Metazoa; Mollusca; Bivalvia; Unionida; Margaritiferidae
Description: tRNA-Thr
Source: RNAcentral
GCUUGAGAAGCUUAUCCUAAGCAUUGGUCUUGUAAACCAAAAUUAAAGGAAUACAAUUUUCCCCGAGAC